Long non-coding RNA from Sapajus apella (tufted capuchin), 226 nucleotides. RefSeq lists it as uncharacterized. The transcript is spliced from 2 exons. The record is from RefSeq and is a predicted model, not a curated record. NCBI's taxonomy places the organism in Eukaryota, Metazoa, Chordata, Mammalia, Primates, Cebidae.
ACAGCUCCCUUGGUAAACUAUUUUGCAGUAGAAUCUUGCAACUAUAAGGCUCUCUAUUACAAACGUAUUGGUUUUACUGAAUUGAAGAAAACAUUAUGAUUACAGGUUUAUCAUUGUGGAAUGUUAAAAAUGCAACUACAAGCAUUCUAAAACAGAACAAGAACGACAUACUUAAAUGUAACAAUACACUGCUUUAAUAUUUGAGAAUCUUCCCAAGUAUAUGACU